GUGCUCACUUCAGCAGCACAUAUACUAAAACUGUAAAAACAGAGAAGAGUAGCACGGCCACUGCACAAGGAUGACACACAAAUUUGUAAAGCAUUCCAUUUUUAA
Molecule: small nuclear RNA, 105 nt
Organism: Physeter macrocephalus (sperm whale)
Lineage: Eukaryota; Metazoa; Chordata; Mammalia; Artiodactyla; Physeteridae
Source: Ensembl